CAGUAGGGGUUCUGAGAGGAAGGUCCCCCACAUUGGAACUGAGACACGGUCCAAACUCCUACGGGAGGCAGCAGUGAGGAAUAUUGGUCAAUGGACGAGAGUCUGAACCAGCCAAGUAGCGUGCAGGAAGACGGCCCUAUGGGUUGUAAACUGCUUUUAUAAGGGAAUAAAGUGAGAGUCGUGACUCUUUUUGCAUGUACCUUAUGAAUAAGGACCGGCUAAUUCCGUGCCAGCAGCCGCGGUAAUACGGAAGGUCCGGGCGUUAUCCGGAUUUAUUGGGUUUAAAGGGAGCGUAGGCCGGAGAUUAAGCGUGUUGUGAAAUGUAGACGCUCAACGUCUGCACUGCAGCGCGAACUGGUUUCCUUGAGUACGCACAAAGUGGGCGGAAUUCGUGGUGUAGCGGUGAAAUGCUUAGAUAUCACGAAGAACUCCGAUUGCGAAGGCAGCUCACUGGAGCGCAACUGACGCUGAAGCUCGAAAGUGCGGGUAUCGAACAGGAUUAGAUACCCUGGUAGUCCGCACGGUAAACGAUGGAUGCCCGCUGUUGGUCUGAAUAGGUCAGCGGCCAAGCGAAAGCAUUAAGCAUCCCACCUGGGGAGUACGCCGGCAACGGUGAAACUCAAAGGAAUUGACGGGGGCCCGCACAAGCGGAGGAACAUGUGGUUUAAUUCGAUGAUACGCGAGGAACCUUACCCGGGCUUGAAUUGCAGAGGAAGGAUUUGGAGACAAUGACGCCCUUCGGGGCCUCUGUGAAGGUGCUGCAUGGUUGUCGUCAGCUCGUGCCGUGAGGUGUCGGCUUAAGUGCCAUAACGAGCGCAACCCCUCUCCUUAGUUGCCAUCAGGUUAAGCUGGGCACUCUGGGGACACUGCCACCGUAAGGUGUGAGGAAGGUGGGGAUGACGUCAAAUCAGCACGGCCCUUACGUCCGGGGCUACACACGUGUUACAGUGGCAGGUACAGAGAGACGGUCCCUUGCAAAACGGAUCAAAUCCUUAAAGCCUGUCUCAGUUCGGACUGGGGUCUGCAACCCGACCCCACGAAGCUGGAUUCGCUAGUAAUCGCGCAUCAGCCAUGGCGCGGUGAAUACGUUCCCGGGCCUUGUACACACCGCCCGUCAAGCCAUGAAAGCCGGGGGCGCCUAAAGUCCGUGACCGUAAGGAGCGGCCUAGGGCGAAACUGGUAAUUGGGGCUAAGUCGUAACAAGGUA
RNAcentral lists this ribosomal RNA (1207 nucleotides) under metagenome. RNAcentral's name for it is "bacterial SSU rRNA". It matches the Rfam family "Bacterial small subunit ribosomal RNA", at positions 281 to 1498 of the family's 1533-position model. The record is from RNAcentral.